CUUACUUGCCACCCCUCCGCCCUGAGUGUGGGCUGGCCUUAGCAACACACUUCUAAUGACUAGAUGACCACAGAAGGGCAGGUGUGUUCCUCAUAAGGCUUUCCAGAAAAGGGCCAGAGACUGAAGCGUCUUGGCUUUGCAGGCCAUGUGGGCUCUGAUGUGGCAACUCAGUUGUGCCACUGCAGUGUGAAGGCAGGACACCAAAGGGAGGAGUGUGACAGAUUUGGCCAGCAGGCUGUGAUUUGUUGACACUUGGAGUGCUUAGUGAAAGGCCUUGUGACUUCCUCUUUGUUCUCUUUGGGGGACACCAGCUGCUGGAUCAUGAGGACAUGUGAGCAUGUACAGCCUUUGGAGAGGCGCGUGUGGGUUCUUGCCCAUGGAACUCCAGUGGCCACCUGGACAAAGAUCUAAGGAUGGAGCUAGCUGCAUGCAGCUUCUGACCUUGGGGCUUGAUUGGAUUCUCUGUCCCUCUGGCUCCAGGUGGCCCUGCACCACUGCCUAAGACUUCUGCAGCACACGCUUCUGUCCCUAGAUGGCGCCAGGGGACUGUGCCUCCUCCCACCUGCUUGGGCGUUCCAGGGAGAAGAGGCAUUCUGUAUUUUGGAGAUGAUUGAAGAGAGAAAUGCUUUAAAUUGAAAAGUGAAACUCUGGCCCAAAGUUAAAACAGGGAGAAUUAGUUGCUAAUUUCAGCUGCCUGGUCCUCUGAGUUCAAAUCCUCUGGUCCGUCAUUAGUUUCUGCCUGACUUCAGGCAGAUUGUAUAUGUGAAAAGAAUAGCAGCCCAAUCUAGAGGAGUUUGGGGAUAAUUGAGUGAUUUAUUUCUGCUUAGAACCGUGUCUGGCACAUAAUAAGUGCUUGGUAAAAUUAGAUAUUCUUUU
Nycticebus coucang (slow loris) is the source of this 876-nucleotide long non-coding RNA. RefSeq lists it as uncharacterized. Lineage: Eukaryota; Metazoa; Chordata; Mammalia; Primates; Lorisidae. The record is from RefSeq and is a predicted model, not a curated record. The transcript has 3 exons.